This is a non-coding RNA of Punica granatum (pomegranate), 1413 nucleotides long. The record is from RefSeq and is a predicted model, not a curated record. NCBI's taxonomy places the organism in Eukaryota, Viridiplantae, Streptophyta, Magnoliopsida, Myrtales, Lythraceae.
AAGUCGGAUUUCGGUCUCCCCCCCGCCUCCUUCUCUUCUCUGCUCGAGAACUUCAUAGCCCUAGUUGGAGAAGAAUAACUCAGCUCUCCUCUGAUCUUCAGCCCUAAUUUCUCCUUGUCUUGUGCAUCUUGCUCAUUCGUCCUCGAUUGCAGUCCUCCUCAAUCCUCCCUUCUUCUCCUCCAUUCAUUCUCUCUUCUGAUUGCAGCUCAGCUCGUCCUCGAUUGCAGCUCUUCUACUCUGGUUCGGUCGCUGAGGCGCAAGGCUUGUCUACUGAGGAGAGUCGAAUUAGUCGAUGUUGCUUCUCUCACUUCUAUGUGCUGUCUGUGGCUCUAUGCUAGUGUGACUGGUCUGUGCCUCUGGCUCUGUGUCUGUGUUGUUCUUGGUCUGUGCUGCCAUUGCUGAAAUUGAACGAAAAAUCCUAACUAAAUGUAGGAAACUAUAGAUUCGAUGCUUCAGUUGCUCUUGCACAAUUUGCUUGUUGAAUGAAUUGAAUGCUUCCAGUGAAUGUGGUUCUCUGGUAAUCUUCAUCACGCAUUUUAUCGUCGGAUCUCUGCUGGGUCAAUUCCCUGAAUAUCAACUGUUGAGACUUGAGAAGCAUUUCUGGUGAACGUGUAAUGAAAUUGCUUGCCAGUUGGAUAUGCAGUUGCUCCUUGCUGGCUUUGUUGAAGAGUUUGUUUGAAUUCUAUGAAUGAUACUUUUUUUUUUUUGCUUAGGAAAAUAUGAUGCAUAUAUAUAUACUGUUUUUUUAAUUACAUAUAGAAUUUUACAAUUCACGAUUCUAAGACCCUCUACUGAUUUUAGGUAGAAUCGCGAUUCUGACAACCUUAAUUACCACACAAUAUGUAGUUUAUCUACAACCUAAUAAAGUUAAGCUUAAAUAUAAAAUAAAUAACAUAUGUUAUACAAUAAUUUGUUGUUUGCAUUCAACUUUAAUAUAUUAUACAACAAGAUAAAAUAGAUAACAUAUACAUAUAUAUCUCAACAUGUGCAUAAUUAAAGUCUAUAUAUCAGCAUGCGCAUAUAUAUAGUUUUCUUAUUUAGUAAGAAUCAAUAUAUCUCCAAUAAUAGCGCGUGUGACAAUUCAAUGUGUUUGUGUAUAUGUGUGUAUAUAUAUAUAAGGCACGAAUGGCAUAGGUAAGUAAUCUGAGGCAUAGUGUGUCGAUCUUUUAGAGGAGAAUAACAAUCCGAGUUGCAAUGUGAGUAGAGAUUUUGAGACGCUACAAUGGUUUAUCACAUGAAGAUUGAGGGAUGCCAUGAACACAAGGAUUAAUGAAGUCAUUAGUCUUAACAUGAUUUUUCUUGAUCCACUGAAAAAAUAAAUUUGAAAUAUAUUUCAACUGUACUCAUAAUAUAGAUUAUGUAUAUAUUGAUUCCUUUUUUACAUAUAACAAUAUAUUCCGUUUGUGGUAUUGA